Molecule: ribosomal RNA, 849 nt
Filed under: Priestia megaterium
Lineage: Bacteria; Bacillati; Bacillota; Bacilli; Caryophanales; Bacillaceae
Description: bacterial SSU rRNA
Rfam family: Bacterial small subunit ribosomal RNA
Source: RNAcentral
GACGAACGCUGGCGGCGUGCCUAAUACAUGCAAGUCGAGCGGACCGACGGGAGCUUGCUCCCUUAGGUCAGCGGCGGACGGGUGAGUAACACGUGGGUAACCUGCCUGUAAGACUGGGAUAACUCCGGGAAACCGGGGCUAAUACCGGAUGCUUGAUUGAACCGCAUGGUUCAAUCAUAAAAGGUGGCUUUUAGCUACCACUUACAGAUGGACCCGCGGCGCAUUAGCUAGUUGGUGAGGUAACGGCUCACCAAGGCGACGAUGCGUAGCCGACCUGAGAGGGUGAUCGGCCACACUGGGACUGAGACACGGCCCAGACUCCUACGGGAGGCAGCAGUAGGGAAUCUUCCGCAAUGGACGAAAGUCUGACGGAGCAACGCCGCGUGAGUGAUGAAGGUUUUCGGAUCGUAAAACUCUGUUGUUAGGGAAGAACAAGUACCGUUCGAAUAGGGCGGUACCUUGACGGUACCUAACCAGAAAGCCACGGCUAACUACGUGCCAGCAGCCGCGGUAAUACGUAGGUGGCAAGCGUUGUCCGGAAUUAUUGGGCGUAAAGCGCGCGCAGGCGGUUUCUUAAGUCUGAUGUGAAAGCCCCCGGCUCAACCGGGGAGGGUCAUUGGAAACUGGGGAACUUGAGUGCAGAAGAGGAGAGUGGAAUUCCACGUGUAGCGGUGAAAUGCGUAGAGAUGUGGAGGAACACCAGUGGCGAAGGCGACUCUCUGGUCUGUAACUGACGCUGAGGCGCGAAAGCGUGGGGAGCGAACAGGAUUAGAUACCCUGGUAGUCCACGCCGUAAACGAUGAGUGCUAAGUGUUAGAGGGUUUCCGCCCUUUAGUGCUGCAGCAAACG